This 325-nucleotide ribosomal RNA is filed under the name uncultured eukaryote. RNAcentral describes it as "partial 18S ribosomal RNA". It matches the Rfam family "Eukaryotic small subunit ribosomal RNA", at positions 1470 to 1796 of the family's 1831-position model. The record is from RNAcentral.
CCCUUAGAUGUUCUGGGCCGCACGCGCGCUACACUGAUGCAUUCAACGAGCCUAUCCUUGACCGACAGGUCCGGGUAAUCUUUGAAUCUGCAUCGUGACGGGGAUAGAUUAUUGCAAUUAUUAAUCUUCAACGAGGAAUGCCUAGUAGGCGCAAGUCAUCAGCUUGCGUCGAUUACGUCCCUGCCCUUUGUACACACCGCCCGUCGCUCCUACCGAUUGGGUGUGCUGGUGAAAUGUUCGGAUCGGCCGUUUGUCGCGGUUUCCGCGGCGCGUGGCUGAGAAGUUCAUUAAACCCUCCCACCUAGAGGAAGGAGAAGUCGUAACA